GACGAACGCUGGCGGCGUGCUUAACACAUGCAAGUCGAACGGAAAGGCCCUGCUUUUGUGGGGUGCUCGAGUGGCGAACGGGUGAGUAACACGUGAGUAACCUGCCCUUGACUUUGGGAUAACUUCAGGAAACUGGGGCUAAUACCGGAUAGGAGCUCCUGCUGCAUGGUGGGGGUUGGAAAGUUUCGGCGGUUGGGGAUGGACUCGCGGCUUAUCAGCUUGUUGGUGGGGUAGUGGCUUACCAAGGCUUUGACGGGUAGCCGGCCUGAGAGGGUGACCGGCCACAUUGGGACUGAGAUGCGGCCGAGACGACUACGGGAGGCAGGAGUGGGGAAUAUUGCACAAUGGGCGGAAGCCUGAUGCAGCAACGCCGAGUGCGGGAUGACGGCCUUCGGGGUGUAAACCGCUUUCGCCUGUGACGAAGCGUGAGUGACGGUAAUGGGUAAAGAAGCACCGGCUAACUACG
RNAcentral lists this ribosomal RNA (466 nucleotides) under uncultured bacterium. Its description in RNAcentral is "partial 16S ribosomal RNA". It matches the Rfam family "Bacterial small subunit ribosomal RNA", at positions 28 to 505 of the family's 1533-position model. The record is from RNAcentral.